UACGUAGGGGGCAAGCGUUGUCCGGAAUUAUUGGGCGUAAAGCGCGCGCAGGCGGCAGGGAAAGUCUUGUGUCAAAGACCGGAGCUCAACUCCGGGUUGCAUGAGAAACUGUCCAGCUAGAGUGUAGGAGAGGGAAGUGGAAUUCCACGUGUAGCGGUGAAAUGCGUAGAUAUGUGGAGGAACACCAGUGGCGAAGGCGACUUCCUGGCCUAUAACUGACGCUGAGGCGCGAAAGCGUGGGGAGCAAACAGG
Molecule: ribosomal RNA, 252 nt
Filed under: uncultured bacterium
Lineage: Bacteria
Description: partial 16S ribosomal RNA
Rfam family: Bacterial small subunit ribosomal RNA
Source: RNAcentral